AUGUGGAACAGACUGAUAUCAACCAAAGCUUGAGACAAAACAAUAUAUUCCUAUUGCGCCACAAAAGGUCAGAUAAAACUGCGUUAACUGAAGAGCAACACGUUAACUGCAUCAAGGAUACAUCGUGUUUUGGUGAGUAACAUGAAAACAUAACUUCACAAGGCACCUUUAAUUGGGAUUAUGGGGCUAUAAUGUAAUUGAGAUUAUUAUUUUUUAAAUUAUAUAAUUUA
This is a long non-coding RNA of Siniperca chuatsi (mandarin fish), 230 nucleotides long. RefSeq lists it as uncharacterized. The record is from RefSeq and is a predicted model, not a curated record. Lineage: Eukaryota; Metazoa; Chordata; Actinopteri; Centrarchiformes; Sinipercidae. The transcript is spliced from 2 exons.